This is an RNA transcript of Glycine soja, 2694 nucleotides long. It is a transcript of the gene named probable inactive purple acid phosphatase 27, with no coding region annotated. The transcript is spliced from 14 exons. Lineage: Eukaryota; Viridiplantae; Streptophyta; Magnoliopsida; Fabales; Fabaceae. The record is from RefSeq and is a predicted model, not a curated record.
CUUCAUAUUCGUUCCUUAAGUUACUAACCCUAGCUAUAGCUUUGUAUGACGCCGCAAUACCCCAGUCCUCGCCUCCAAACCCUUCCUCCACUCCUUCUUCCUCCCUCUCCUCCCUAAGCUCCCUUCCUCCACCGCUGUCGCCGCUCCCUCCAUCGUCGACGACCAAUUCGAGUUCAUCUACCUCUCCUGGUUGAGUUUGGGAUCAGCCUGGAGGCAGGCGGGGCCGCCAACGUUGGGGAGGAAGAAGUAGAGAGGGUCGAUGAAGAGGGUGAGGAGGCUCGUAACAAGGAACACCCGGUUCCAAUAGGCCACGAUGUCGCUGUCGGGGUUCAGGAUCUGGUAAUGCCAUAGGAUCUGGAACGCGUGCUCCUCCUCUCUCGUUGUCACUGCCUUCGAUCAAGACCGAAGUCGUCGGAACUGGCGGAACUUCGACGCCGAUGUCGAUAAUAUUCUAUUUAUCUUCCAUGGCAGAUUCCAAGGGGACAGAUUCCGCGACUGAGAGAGGACGAGAACGAGAACAAUGGCAACGGGGUUUGGAUGGCUAGCUUUAGCGAGGUUUGGAUGGCUGGCUUUAGCAAAAUGUUCAAUGUCCAGAAGCAAAUUAUCCAACAUUUUUUUUAUGCAAUGCCCAUGUCGCGUACAAAAGUGUUCUUUGAGGAAACCUGUUUAGCAUCAAAAGAUGCUAUGCCUUUUGAUUUACUAAAGAAGAAGAUGUUUUCGAGAUUAAAUACAAUGGGGAUCAGAAUUAAGAAAACUUACGAAGAGGAAUGGUCUUAUAUCCCAGUUGGUGGAUCCCUACCGAACACAGAGCAAAAGAACCUUGCAUUUGGUGCAACUGCCAGCAUGGUGCAUCCAGCCACAGGGUACUCCGUUGUGAGAUCUUUGUCAGAAGCUCCAAAAUAUGUUUCAGUAAUUGCUUCUAUUUUGAAAGAUGAUCAUGCCAAGGACAUCAUUACUCAAAAAAGAAGAAAGGAGAAUCUAUCUAUGCAAGUACAAGUAUGCCAACCAUUCUAAUUCAAAAUAUAUGAAGACUAGGAAAGCUAUUUUGAAGUUCCAGUUGAUCAAUCAACGUGCAGAUUUUUCCUUUGGACUAUUUUCAGGAGGAUUAUCUAAUCCAAGACUUGUGGCAGUUUCCAAUUCCAUAUCAUUUGCAAAUCCUAAAGCACCUGUGUAUCCGCGCCUUGCUCUAGGAAAGUCUUGGGAUGAAAUGACAGUUACAUGGACAAGUGGAUAUGACAUAGAUGAAGGCCUUUUGUUGAAUGGGGUCCCAAAGGAAAAAAGCAAUGACAAUCUCCUGCUAGAACAUUGACAUUUAAUCGUAACAACAUGUGUGGUGAACCUACAAGAACUGUUGGCUAGCGUGACCCUGGUUUUAUACACACAAGUUUCCUAAAAGAACUUUGGCCAAAUUUGAGGUACACUUACAAGUUAGAGCAUAUGUUGUCUAACGGUUAGCGUGUGGAGUAAGAAGUUCUCGUUUAAGACAUCCCCAUAUCCUGGACAGAACUCUUUGCAACGUGCUAUCAUAUUUGGUGACAUGGGAAAGGUACGUGAUGGUUCAAAUUAAUAUGUUGAUUAUCAACCUGGUUCUCUCAACACCACAGACCAACUCAUAAAGGAUUUGGACUAUUACGACAUUGUUUUCCACAUAGGAGAUAUGCCUUAUGCAAAUGGAUACACCUCACAGUGAGACCAAUUCACAGCUCAAGUGCAAGAAAUUUCGUCAACAGUACCAUACAUAAUCGCAAGUGGAAAUCAUGACCGUGACUGGCCAAACACAGGAUCACUUUUUGAUACUCCAGAUUCAGGUGGAGAAUGUGGAGUUUUUGCAGAAACCAUGUAUUAUUUUCCUGCUGAGAAUAGAGCCAAAUUCUGGUAUAAGGCAGAUUAUGGCCUGUUUCGUUUCUGUGUAGCAGAUAGUGAGCACGACUGGAGAGAAGGAUCAGAACAAUACAAAUUCAUUGAGCAUUGUCUUGCAACUAUAGAUAGAAAGCAUCAACCAUGGCUAAUCUUUUCGGCUCAUCGUCCCCUUGACUACUCAUCUAAUGAUUGGUAUGGCAAGGAAGGCUCAUUUGAAGAGCCAAUGGGAAGGGAAAGUUUGCAGAAGCUUUGGCAAAAGUACAAAGUAGAAAUUCCAUUUUAUGGUCACGUCCAUAACUAUGAAAGAAUGUGCCCCAUUUAUCAGAAUCAAUGUGUGAAUCAAGAAAAGCAUCAAUUACUCUGGCACUGUGAACGGAACAAUUCAUGUGGUUGUUGGUGGUGGGGGAAGUCACUUGUCAGACUUCACACCAACACCCCCUAUUUGGAGUCUUUACAGGGAUCUCUCGACUAUGGGUUUGGCAAAUUGACUGGCAUUCAAUCAUUCAUAUCUCUUGUUUGAGUACAAGAGAAGUAGUGAUGGAAAGGUCUAUGAUUCCUUUACCAUUUCAAGAGACUACAGAGAUGUUUUGGCCUGUGUGCACGAUGGUUGUGAGAAAACCACUCUAGCAACCUGAGUUAUGUCUCUGUGUAGACCCGAUAUGAACUUGAAGUGAAAUAAAAUGUCCAAAUAAAUAAACGUUAGUUUGUUUACUUUCCAGGCAAGAUUUAGGAACCACGGAUAUAGAUACAUAUCAAAGAUGACAUGAUUCUGAUUAUGUGAACAAUGUGAAUUCUAAAAACUAUGUCACUGCAUGGCUAAGCAUUGUUGUUAAA